CUCCAGGAGCCGCCAUUUGGGAGCGGUGGCGGCUGAGGCGCUGCGGCGCGGCCCCUUCAGAACCGCGCGGGUAUGGCGGGCUGCGCGUGUGGCGGCUCCUCAAGACGAGCGCGUUCUCAGACACUGGGCGUAGCGCGGCCCCCCGGCCCGCAUCUGCCCGUAAGUCUUACCGGGAGCAGCGAGCCCCGCGCUGCAGGGAGCUGGCAGCGGCCCGAGGGGCGGUGCGUGCCGCCAGGGGUGGGGUAUCACCGCUGGGAAAGGUAUCGGGAAAGCCCGGGCGCGCAGCUUUCCCCUCAGCGGGCGAGGAGGAGCCGUCGGACGCGGGCCGGGCCUCACUCGUCCAGGCUCUGAAGGCAUCAAGUGCCCACGCUAAAUGGCAAUCAAUUUAUCGUCCUAAAGACUUGGAAGGAUAGCCACUGCAGUAUAAAACGUUUCUCCUAUUGCUGUUUUUUUUUUUUUUCGUAAGAACGUGCAGGCUUACAGUCGUUAGAUUAAUUGGUCUUCAAACAAGCAUUUCUCUGAAGAGAGCCUUCAGUAAAGCUCUCUCAGCCUUAUUUGGGGCUCCUCUGCAGAGGGAGGCUUAUGCUGCAUAAUCCAAGGCUGCAGCUCAGCUGAAGUCACAUCAACAACAAGGGCAAAGGAAAAGCAGCACUGCUGGGCAGCCUCUCCUAAACACCAAAUAAGAAAAGAACAACAUACAAAGGCUGCAGCUACGGAUGCCCUCCAGGGAAAGGUGUGUAAUUGCCAUCCCCAUUUCAAUCUGCUGUGAGGAACCCUAGAAGGCUGAAACAGAAAUCUCCAUGUCCUCAGAAAACCACAAUUCAGUACGUGAUUUAUGAACGUGAAUCACACCUUUCAUAUUCUCAAAGAGUAGCCUUUCCCACACAUGUCACAUUUAAACCAAAAGAGUCCUCUGAUGCACGCACAGUUUACGUGACUUUAGCAGGAUUCAUAGCCAAACUGUUGGCCCAGGAGAAACAGGUAAAUUCACAGCUGUGUGUACAGCGAGUGUUUGCAUUGCUCAAGACUAAGCGUGUCAGUGUAAUGUUGUAGACAGCAGUACAGAUAUUGGUAAAAGGAGAACCUUAAAAUACAAUAAUGUAAAAUGAAUAAAAACAUGACAUGAGAAGCUUAAAUCGUAACAUUUUAAGCUUUCAAAAAGAAUAGAAACAUCAAGAAUCGUAGUCAUAGAUCAAACCACUUCAGAUUCAAGCUGAGUUUCAGAUAGUUAAACUGUGUCAUUUAAAAUUUGUUCUUUGUUUUUAUGUAGUUUUUUGUUUGUCUGUUUUUUAUUUCUGCAUUGUAGAACUUAAACUGCAUAUGUUUUUAUAACAAUAGAACAUCUUAUAUAUGAAGUUCACAAAGCAGUAUACUUGUUUUGCUGGAAAGGAAACUAACGCAGUCUGUUCUCAUGAGAUAUUUCUGUUAUAUUGUUCACAACAGACUCUUUUUAUUUUAUCCAUAUCCAACUAAACGUUGGAUGCUGUUCAUCUGACAACAUUGCAUACUGUCACAUUCCUUUCCUCCACUCUAAUCAGCAUCUUUUCAGCCACAUACUGAAGCAAAGUUUUGGUAGCUUGUCUUUUGCUAUGUUAAUAACUUAGGACAUCUCCUCCCAAAAAGUUCAGUCUUUACCACCAUAGAUAAGGGUGCAGUGAUCCCAGUAUUUCCCUGGAAAGUAUGGAUUCUGGAGCAACUUACGCUCUCCAAGAACUCAGCGGAAGUUGUGCAGACUAAGAUGGGGUUGUGUUGAGCUGUGUGCCUGCAGGUUCCAACCCCUGGGGAUUUGCAUUAGUAGAUCUUUUAGGUCAUCAUUUAGUUUGGUAUGCAGAAUGGACAGUCCAAUACAAAGCUUCUAUAUGAGUAUCUAUAUUUAAAUUCAUGUUAUUUAUUUUCAGGGUCAAACUAACCUAAAUACUUGAGAGUUAACAAAAGAAACUUUGCCUAGCAGUUCAGUAUGUGUUACAGAAUCAAUUCAUCUCUAAUACUUUACUCCACCUAUUAGGCACACGUAUACCUAUGAUUCUUAUGUUGCCCUUAAAUAAACAUAACAAUAAAAAUAUUUGACAGAAAUGUCAACCGAGGUAGGUUUUAAAUGCAAAUUUGUGCGGAAACACUUCAAAGUAAAACUGAAAUAGUUUUUCAUUAAACAUUACAGAAAUAAAUUAUUUAUUCUCAGAGUGCAGCUCUAUAAGCAGUAAGCAAUGACCUUUUACUGAAAAAAAAAUCACUGAUAGUCUUACAUGAAAUAUAUUGUUAAGAUUUUCAACAAGCUGCCUACCACUUUUCUAUCCUCCAUAUGUUCUCUCUGCAAUCUGUGGUAUUAUAGAUAUCCAGUAUCUCAGGCUUAUUAUAUGUAGUGCAGCAGAAAAUUUCAGCUCCAAUUUCAAUGCAGUGCAACUUGCUUCUAGGAAAAUUCAGAGAUCCUGCACUGCCCCAUCCAGUUCUCUGAGUCCUCUCCAGACAGGAGGUAUUAAGUUGCUUUCUUGAAUUUUUAGCUACUCAUUUACAGUACCUAUUACCAAGACUUAUCUUCUAACGUGAAAUGGAGCAGUGACAUAUGAGAGUGCUGGUCAGAACUUUGGAACUUGAGAAUUUAAACAGAUGUGCUGGUUACAAAGCAUUGUCUCUGCUGUGCGACUCAGCCUGAGCCCAUUGGCUCACUUUGUUUUAUACGCACCUUGGUUGCCCCUUUAUGUGCAAAAGGGGUAAAAUCUGACCCAAAGAUAAAUCAACCAACCAACCAACCCAACCCCCUCACUAUCAGAGCCAUUUGGUUUAAAAGUGACCUCCACCAAGUUGUAUGUGACAGAGCUGUAUUUUAUUAGGUAAUCAUCACUGUAACUGUCUCCAUCUCCAGAUAGAAAUAGAUUUGAGAGCAGACUCUCACCGUAAGGACUGAUUGAUGUACCUUUGGUCAGAAACAUAACUUAGGAGGCUUGAAAGAAGAGCACAGGACAAAUGUAUUAGUCAAUUAAUCGAGACCACUGUAUACUGAGAAUAUCAAAGCAAGAAAAUAACACAGAGUGGGGAUGCUGAAGUGAUCUGUGCCAUUUGCACAGUGAAUAAAUGCUCAAUUUGAAUAAGCAGUAUAUGAGCUCCAACAGGGGAAAAAUAAUUUUAAAAAGUAAUAAAUACAAAUCAAGUCUUCCAUUUGUUUUGCUGCCUGAAUAAUCCUUGUUACUUCAUAGACAACAAACACAGUAGUUUGAUAUAUACAUGUAGUCUAUUUUAGAAACCUAACCAAGCUGGUUUAUUGGGUUUAUUUUGACUUUCUGAAGAAGCCUAACAACAACAAGAUCUACUCACAGCUAGGUAGUACAGCUUAAAAAUAACACCCAUAAAUAAAUAGCUCCCUCCUGACAAAUUUCUGAAAGAUUCUUAUUAUUUUUCAAAUACCUGACACAGAGCUGCAUAAAUAGUCCAGUAUCUGACUUGGCAUGACCCCAAGCUGUGCAUUAUUUUUCCUGCGUAUGGACAAUUUAUUGUGUGCAGUAUCUGAACUGCAUUCUGUACUUAGUUUCUCUAGAAACUGGCCAUUGUAGUGAUGCACACAGGAUGACAACAUUUCAGCUUUAUGUGAAGAAUGAUGGGCAUUGAAUCAGUAGCAGUGGAAUAAGAAAAGGAAGAUGUAUGCGCACGCACACGUGUAUGUGAUUAUUUCUGUGUGUAUACAUGUUCAGAACAUACUGAGGGAUGACAGGCAACAGAACUAAACAUUUUAAGUUUCCUUUUAUCUUCUUGCAGAUCGUAUAUGUUGUAAUUCUUCAGAAAACAGCCUUUUUUUUUUUUAAUAGAUUUGAAGAGGAUCCUAUCUUUGUAGACAUACAGUUCUGUUGUACACAGAAACACUGGCUUGCAUUCUGUCUGAUAUCACACAGCGUUUAUCAAAGGUAGAUUCCAGGAGACAAGAAUCAAAAGCAGUCUAGUCAGCCUAUCUGACAGCUCACAAGCUGCUCUCCAGCACUGUUAUUCCCAGAUAAAGCCAAACUAAUUAUAAUAUAGAUAUUAAGUUAUAAAUACCUGGCAUCAUUCAAGGAUUUGAUAUAUUUCUGCUUAGCAAGAAGACAGAAGUCUAUUUCAGUCCAUACGCAUGUUCAUGUACUAAGAGAAGUAGAUCCUUCAUUUACUGCAUUUAUUUAUUUUUUAAAGUAUUUGGCUUUCAGCAUUAACCUUAAUCCACCGUGUUUCAAGUUCAUCUUAAACAUGCAGAUGAGCAAAGAUAGGUGAUCAAAGGCAUACAUUAGCUUUGGCAAACAUACCUGUUUUAGCCACCCUUUGAUACUUGGUCUAUCAGUGCAAUAUAUAGCAAAUUGUGCUUAGAAGGACAUGAAGAUGCGCUUACAUCAUAAUUUUAAAUUUUCAUUGUUCUGUUUCUGAAGUUAUGACGACAGUGAAGGAUUUUUGAGAUGAUUGAGCUGUGUUGGUAAUGGAGCUGUGGAGUAUAAAGCAUUCUGAUACACUGUAUUUCAGAUCUAGGCUAAAAUGCGUUGGUGAAAGUUUCGGUGUAUGCUGAUGGGCUACAUCUCUGUUACAGGUAUCAACAUCAGCAUUCUUGCCAGCAACAGAACGCAUUGCUAGCCUGCAGCAUGUGAAGCUCCGUUGGAUGAUCCAGUGGCUCAGAGAAGGCUCAUGGAGCAGAAAGGCUAGUGAGUGCUAAGAGGGCUGGUCUCUGGGAGACUGCAAGCAGCUAAGAACUAUCACCACCAAGCAACCUCUUGAAGACAGCAGAACCCAAGAUGGAGUGAGCACUACAAAGCAGGUGACCACCAGGAAAGAAAAUGUGUGACACCACAUUGGUCUCUGUCAGUGGGGUACUUUCCUACUUGGAAAGAACUUUCCAUGAGAAAGUCUGGAUGGCUGCAGUACAAGUUCUUAUAAUAUCCAGAGCCAAACUGUAAUUUGGUGGUACAUAUAACAUAGUAUGGUAUUAAGUGUGGUAUCUGUUUCUAUAUGUAUUUGAAUGCACAUGGCAGUGCUUUUUUCUGUGAUGGGUGAUGCAGAAAUGCUUGUGCUGGGCAGGAAAUGCAGCCAGAUAUUCUAGGAAGCCUCCAUGUUAGCCUAAGGCAGCUAUAAAAAGAAAAUGGGGUGCUGCUUAGAUGGUUUAAUAGUAAGGACUGAGUUACCAUUACUGGUCAUGUUUCAUCGGCUUUUUGCAUUUCUAUCUCCAAGAAAUAUAAAGGAUUCCCUGAGAGCAGGACACACAAGAAGCUUUAAGCCCUUAGAAUGUAAAUAUUUGUGAAGCAGAUGGUGAGCCCCGAGUAUUAGGGUAAACAUCAAUUUUUCUGUUUUAUUCUCAUAUGCGAGUGUAUUUUAUUCAGACCUUAAUCUUUGUGCUGUGUAACUGCCACUAAAUAAACAGUUUCUUUUCAACUAAUCUCUAGAGAAAGAUUGCUUCCUACCUAUUCCUGUCAUGCUUCUUGCAGGCACGUUGCUCCUUCCUUCACUGACUCCUUCUUUUAUUUGGGCAUAGUAAAAGAAAGGCUAAUCUAGGCAUCUGUGGAGAAAGUAGAUUUUUAAACUAAUGAUACAGAGAUGUGAUGUGGGAGGUGUAGAUAAUUUAAGUUCAAAUCCUGAGGUUGUUAUUCAGUUCUGCAACUGUAAGGAGAGCAACCGUAAUUAUGUUUUUGAGAGAGGAUGGCAGUACCCGCAGUCUGACUGGCACUAUGUAACCUUGGGGUCUUUCUGGAAAGAGGUGGAUACCCAGUCUUUAUUUUGAGCUGCUUUCUGGAAGAUCCUGUCUCUGUCUGUUGAGUACAGAGCGUGCCAGGAUUAGCAGAGCCAAACCUUGUUCACAUUAAUUCCUUCAAUGUGAGGAUUUUGCUUUAGGCUGAGGAGCAUUUGAUCUUCUCUCUCUUAUUUCAGCUGCAAUGAAAAAAAUCCUGUCAAAUGUUAAUCAGAUUCAGAUCUUUUAGCUCCAGUGGUGUUUUGCUCAGUAAACUAUUCUCACUGGCGCUUUUGCCUGUCAUUUUUGCCAUCAGCUGAAAAGCUGAAAACUCUGCUUUCCUAACUAUUUCCCUCAGCUCGGGAUUUCAUGUGUGCCACGAUCGGAAUUUAUCAAUAGACUGAACAGUCAUUU
This 6079-nucleotide long non-coding RNA is filed under the name Gallus gallus (chicken). Lineage: Eukaryota; Metazoa; Chordata; Aves; Galliformes; Phasianidae. The record is from RNAcentral.